AGAGUUUGAUCCUGGCUCAGGAUGAACGCUAGCGGCAGGCUUAACACAUGCAAGUCGAGGGGCAGCAUGAGACGGAGAUUCGUCGAAGUCUUGAUGGCGACCGGCGCAAGGGUGCGUAACGCGUGAGCAACUUGCCCGUUUCAGGGGGAUAACCGGUGGAAACGCCGACUAAUACCCCAUGGCAUCAGCAUGAGGCAUCUCAUGUUGAUUAAAGAGUUUCGGAAACGGAUAGGCUCGCGUGACAUUAGAUAGAUGGCGGGGUAACGGCCCACCAUGUCAACGAUGUCUAGGGGUUCUGAGAGGAAGGUCCCCCACACUGGAACUGAGACACGGUCCAGACUCCUACGGGAGGCAGCAGUGAGGAAUAUUGGUCAAUGGUCUGACGACUGAACCAGCCAUGCCGCGUGAAGGUGACGGCCCUAUGGGUCUUAAACUUCUUUUGCGAGGGAGCAAUAAGGGUCACGUGUGGUCCGAUGAGAGUACCUCGCGAAUAAGCAUCGGCUAACUCCGUGCCAGCAGCCGCGGUAAUACGGGGGAUGCGAGCGUUAUCCGGAUUUAUUGGGUUUAAAGGGUGCGUAGGCGGUCUGUUAAGUCAGCGGUGAAAUUUAGGGGCUCAACCUCUACCGUGCCGUUGAUACUGGCGGGCUGGAAUGCGGAUGCCGUGGGAGGAAUGUGUGGUGUAGCGGUGAAAUGCAUAGAUAUCACACAGAACACCGAUUGCGAAGGCAUCUCACGAAUCCGCAAUUGACGCUGAUGCACGAAAGCGUGGGGAUCAAACAGGAUUAGAUACCCUGGUAGUCCACGCUGUAAACG
This 813-nucleotide ribosomal RNA is filed under the name uncultured bacterium. RNAcentral's name for it is "bacterial SSU rRNA". It matches the Rfam family "Bacterial small subunit ribosomal RNA", at positions 8 to 808 of the family's 1533-position model. The record is from RNAcentral.